Molecule: long non-coding RNA, 2283 nt
Organism: Ictalurus punctatus (channel catfish)
Lineage: Eukaryota; Metazoa; Chordata; Actinopteri; Siluriformes; Ictaluridae
Exons: 2
Source: RefSeq, a predicted model, not a curated record
CGGGCAGAGAACCGGCGCACACAAGAAGGAAAUCGCUCCUUCUCCAACUGCCGCACCGGCACGACGUGGGCAGCUUCGUGCCGAACAUUCCGCCAGCCGGAAGGACCGCCGCGGCGGGCCGGGACUGACGCGACACCGGCCAGCGAUUGGGGGACCCAACGGAGAAAUUCCACCACUCGGGCGACUGCGGAGGAGGAUAAAAGGGCGCGCUUCCGGCCGUACGAGAGAAGAGAAUACCGUAGCGACAAGACGGACUCCGUGCAAGCGCGGACGAGAUCGCCGGGUGGUGAGAGUCCCACCUACGGAGGACGCCGGCCCGGGAAAACCCUCGCCCCCGUCUCGGGAAUCCCGCCUCCGCCACGAGUAGGCUACACCGGCAGUCACGCCUCCACAAGCCCCGCACUCAUCCCCUCACAACCCACUCACUUCACCCUUGCACCAAUAAACCACCGUUUGUGAACGUUCUUCUGCCUCCUGUGGGUCUGUACGCCGCCCUUCCCCGGGCUAAUUCCUCACUAUAUAUAUAUAUAUUAAUGCUUAUCAUAGCGUUAAUGCUUAUCAAAGCAUUAACGCUUAUCAAAGAUUAUUUUAUCAUAGCGUAAGUAAAAUUUCACACAUUAAUUUUCAGUGUUUAGUAAUAAUUUAAAACGUAGUAUUUAAUUUAAAAUUUAGUAUCAUCUUAAUUUUUAAUAUCUCAGUUAUAAUCCUACAUAGUCCCUAAAUGCUUAUGUAGACUUCAGAAUAGCCAGGUCUGAAUCUCUGUUGCGCACAGGGGCACGUUCUAACUCUGUGUUAAAACUUACCCUGCUAUUACAAGAAGCUAUGCUAUUCUGUGCAGUUAGCCAUGUAAAUUCACACAAUUCCCUUUUAUGAUUUUAUUUACUGCAGCAUAAGAAACAGGCCAAGGAAGACAGACAGUUGUGUACCUGGGUGUGUUAUUGCUGUGCCUUCAUUAUGUUGGCUUUUGCUUUGGCUUUUUCUGUGUUCAUAGUCAAGCAUUAAUAUUUGUUGUAUGUAAAUGUACAUUAUUUCAUAUGACUUUAUGAUUUUAUGUGAAGAAAUGUUUUUACUGACAUAAUAAUAUAGUUUAUCUUGUAUGUUUUUUUAACUCUUUAAACUCGACCAAAUGAUGUCCAAAUCAUGAGGUCCGGAAAGACAGCAAGAUAGAAAUCUUGAAUGUGGAAGCAUGGAAAACAGUUUUUCUUAUGAUACCUAGUUAAUGUCUGUAUAUGAAAAGUAAGCAGAGUUUUAAAUAUUAUACAAAAUUAAUUACUUAUUGUGCACACAUUACUGUAAGAAUUUGCAAUGCAUGUAAGCAUAUCUUUGGCAUAUUUUGACAUAAAAAUGGAAAGCAGAAAAAAGAUUGGGGAACAAAAUAUUGUUGAUUUACCACCUUGGCUUCCAGUAGCAGGUUUUUAUCUACUCAGGAAGUUUUAGCUGCCAGUUUUGAAAACGAGGAUGAUGGGAAGCGCUUGAUUUUUGAUAGAAAUGACCUGAUUUGAGGAGCGCGUUGGGAGAUGAAGAAAAUCAUCAUAAAGGGGGAGUUGAAUCACUGCGAAAAGAAAUCCCUAAGUGUACACACACAAAUACAAACACACACUUUCAAUCUGUGUGCGUUUUUAUUCGCACGAAUGAACACACACACACACACACAGACACACACACACACACUGUACACGUUUUAUAAGGAAAUUGGCUGUUUACUUCUAAGCAUCUUUGAAAAACUACAACAGUACAACUCUAUGUUUUUGUGCGCACAGAAAGUUCACUUUUAUAAGGAAAGUUUAUUUCUAAGCAUUUUUAGAAAUUGCCACAGUGCAAAAGAAAAAGGAAUGAUGUGUGUGUAUAUGUACAAUAUAAAAUGUAUUUGUUAUAUAUUUUUACUAUUUUUAUGUCUAUACAGCGCUGAUGGACAAGGCCUGUGAUGUGGCAGUGUGCCUCUUUGCUGACAGGGACUGCUUUGAGAAAUGGCACUGCUAAAAGGACACUGACAUUGGAAAAUUGACAGACUGGGAAAAAAUGCCUGUGACUGAUAUGUUUUACUUGUAAAUAGUUCACUAGUUUCUUGUUUCUCAUUUAAGUUUAUAUUUUGUACUUAUGGAGGACUGACCAGACUGAAAAAACACCUGUGACUAAUCUUUUAUUUGUAAAUAGUUCACUAGCAUUAUUUGUUUUUCACUUGUAAAGUUUAGAUUUUGCAUUUAUGGUGUUGAAAAAAAAUCUUUAAAAAAUUAUUUAAUUUAGCUUAUUUUAUUAAUUUAUUAAAUAAAAAUGUGUUUUUAA